Long non-coding RNA from Xenopus laevis (African clawed frog), 2349 nucleotides. RefSeq lists it as uncharacterized. The record is from RefSeq and is a predicted model, not a curated record. Lineage: Eukaryota; Metazoa; Chordata; Amphibia; Anura; Pipidae. The transcript has 7 exons.
UGCAGAUGGGGGGCGGGUGGGGGUCGACAGAUUCUCCAAAACUUUCCCUUUUCGGGAUUUGGUAUACUGGAGGGAAGACUGUGGCACUGGAGCUGGACCCUCUCAAAAUUUUUUGGUGACAGAUGGAAGAUUUGUGAGGAUCCCGAAGGCCAGGAUGGGGAGUUUGUUUCUAUCUUUGGUUAUCUAGCUGUAUGAGUGUCAAUAAGCCGUCAUAAAGCUAGAUAACCGAAAGUAGGAAUCACUUCCAAGGCGUCACCUUUGGUACAUCCAUGGAGGGAGAAGACCAGUCUAACACCCCAGUGCCCGUCAGCUCCGCCUCUGACUUUCAUUCCAGCUACACAGGGGUUAAAAUGUCACAGCAGAAAGCUGUUGGAGGAGAAUUCAAAAUGGCCUCCGGUAAGCCAGAGAGAUACUCCUCUUUCUGUUUUCAAGUGAGUUAGGACAGAAGACUGAAUCCCCUUCCCUAUGUGGGUUAUGUAGCUCCGCAAAUAGGAAGCAGAAGAAGCAUCAGUAUCAACAGCUUGUUAAUUUGAAUGUGCGUUUGAGAAUCUCAUCACCGUGUGAUACCCUCGCUAAUCAUGAGAAUAUACGAGGCCUAAUUGAGAUGAAAAUUUGGGCCCAAACGACAUCAGUUUCUUCAUUCGCCACAAGCAAGAAACUGCUUUGUACUUGGAAGCCAUUUUGAUGGAAUCAAAAGAACUCUUUAAGAUGGCCGCUUGGGCAUGAGGUUAAAAGAAGAUCAAGGGAUCACAAGACUUCAUCACAAUCUCCUCAGACUGCUGGGAGCUUUUCAGUAGUUGUGCAGCCUUUAUUCGUGCAAUUCAAGCAUGAAAAAUACAUCUUCCAGCUAUAAUGGACUAGAUAUCACAAAAGCAUGGACUGUUUGCACAAUGAUGGACUGCUUCUCAUAUAAGAUAUUAUCUACAAUGAGGUCCCCAUGAUGACAAACUGAAAUUACAGUUUCACUACAGCUGACAAGCAAAUCUGUGGGACUGCUUCAGCAGAGAGUCCUGUGCUGGCCAUGCAUAAUACAUGACAAUGUUUUAGCGUAUCCACUGCACCCUUUCCUACUAAGAAGAUCGAAGAAAAAGUGGAUUCACAAAGGAGAUUAUCUGCCAGGCACCUCUUUCCAUUGACCAUGUUUUAGGCAAAUGUGUGGCGAAAAUCCUCUUCAAACACCUUCAUAAGAAACUAUGCUAAGGUUUUAUCUAAGCAGUAUUCUACAGGAAGCAUUCCAUUAUUUUUAAACAGGUUUUAAAGAGAUAUCUCCUGUGAAAUGCUUUCUAAGUUUGUGGGUCACAAAGACUGACCAGCAAUUCUGUACUUGGGAGACCUUACGUGAAAAAACAACAUGGGGUCAGAUGCUGCAUACACCAUCUUCAUGUUGAGGCAGCAGGUCGACUGCAGGACUCUCCCUGUGAGGCCCGUCUUGAGGACUUGUGCUGCAAAUUCUUCCUAGAGUUUAUAGGAGUUUAUAGGAGAAAUAAAAGUUUUGAGAGAAAACUUAACCAACAGAUAAUAAUAAUCCUCAUAAGUGACUAUUUUAAAGCUAUUUUAUCUUAUACAUAUUAGUAAACAUUGUCCUUUUACCUCUUUUACCUUGGGCCACCAUUUUGUGAUGUUCCCUCACUGAUCACCUGACAGGAAAUAGAUUUAGGCUUUCACUGUAACAGGAAGAAGUGUGGGCGUAAAAGUACAAGUACAUGUGCCCCUGGUCUGUGUGUGAGCACAGUGCCUAUUACAACCCAAAGAGACAGACUUUGGAGCUUCAAAUGGCAGUGUAUCGAAAUGGGAUUAUCCCAAAACGUUUUAUGAAAAUACAAGACUGGACUCUUUUGAAAUGACAAUCAUUUUGUAAAUAUAAAGCUGAAAGGCGUAACCACAAGUGGGUUUAAAGUCAGUAUCAUGUGACACAUCACCUCCAUUUUAUGAACUGCCAGUUUUGAGUAUGAUACAAAAGUGUAUUAAACCAAAUAACAUCAGUGUUGUUUCUGCUGUCUGUAUGUGAAUCCCUGAAAUGAAACAGAUCUGGAAAUAUUCACUCACACCACCAUAGUACUUCAAAAAAUAUGUCCCAGACAGAUCCUUUCACGUCUUUUAAUUUGAAGGCCUCUAUAUAUACUGUAUGGGAGAGUGUAGUAACACACAAAUAACAAUUAUUGUUAUUCCUUUCAAUUUCACAUGUGUUGUCAUACAAGAACUGCAAUUCUAUAUUACAAUACUGUUAUUGCAUUCAGAUUCUUUGUAAAAUAAGUUAUGUAUCAUUAAUUGGUUUGUGAACUGCCUAUUGUCAACUUUAUAUACAGCAUGUCCUUGAAUUUUUGAGAAAUAAACUGUGCUAUUAUAUGA